This 488-nucleotide ribosomal RNA is filed under the name uncultured bacterium. Its description in RNAcentral is "partial 16S ribosomal RNA". It matches the Rfam family "Bacterial small subunit ribosomal RNA", at positions 28 to 523 of the family's 1533-position model. The record is from RNAcentral.
GACGAACGCUGGCGGCGUGCCUAACACAUGCAAGACGAGCGGAGUUAGUUUGUAGCUUGCUACAAACUGACUUAGCGGCGGACGGGUGAGUAACGCGUGGAUAACCUGCCUUUUACAGGGGGAUAACACAGGGAAACUUGUGCUAAUACCGCAUAACAUAUAGAAGUGGCAUCACUUUUAUAUCAAAGGAGCAAUUCGGUAGAAGAUGGAUCCGCGUCCGAUUAGCUAGUUGGCGGGGUAAAGGCCCACCAAGGCGACGAUCGGUAGCCGAACUGAGAGGUUGAUCGGCCACAUUGGGACUGAGACACGGCCCAGACUCCUACGGGAGGCAGCAGUGGGGAAUAUUGCGCAAUGGGGGAAACCCUGACGCAGCAACGCCGCGUGAAGGAUGAAGGCUUUCGGGUUGUAAACUUCUUUAGUCGGGGACGAAUGGAUGACGGUACUCGAAGAAUAAGCCACGGCUAACUACGUGCCAGCCGCCGCGGUAA